This 386-nucleotide ribosomal RNA is filed under the name uncultured bacterium. RNAcentral's name for it is "bacterial SSU rRNA". It matches the Rfam family "Bacterial small subunit ribosomal RNA", at positions 29 to 416 of the family's 1533-position model. The record is from RNAcentral.
AUUGAACGCUGGCGGCAUGCCUUACACAUGCAAGUCGAACGGCAGCACGGGAGCAAUCCUGGUGGCGAGUGGCGAACGGGUGAGUAAUAUAUCGGAACGUGCCCAGUAGUGGGGGAUAGCCCGGCGAAAGCCGGAUUAAUACCGCAUACGACCUACGGGUGAAAGCGGGGGAUCGCAAGACCUCGCGCUAUUGGAGCGGCCGAUAUCAGAUUAGCUUGUUGGUGGGGUAAAAGCCUACCAAGGCGACGAUCUGUAGCUGGUCUGAGAGGACGACCAGCCACACUGGGACUGAGACACGGCCCAGACUCCUACGGGAGGCAGCAGUGGGGAAUUUUGGACAAUGGGCGCAAGCCUGAUCCAGCCAUGCCGCGUGUGGGAAGAAGGCC